RNAcentral lists this ribosomal RNA (253 nucleotides) under uncultured bacterium. RNAcentral's name for it is "partial 16S ribosomal RNA". It matches the Rfam family "Bacterial small subunit ribosomal RNA", at positions 524 to 776 of the family's 1533-position model. The record is from RNAcentral.
UACAGAGGUGCCGAGCGUUAGGCGGAAUCACUGGGCUUAAAGCGUGUGUAGGCGGGUCGUUAAGUGCCUUGUGAAAUCCCACAGCUCACCUGUGGAACUGCUUGGCAUACUGGCGAUCUUGAGCCACUUAGGGGCAACCGGAACAAACGGUGGAGCGGUGAAAUGCUUAGAUAUCGUCAAGAACACCUAUAGCGAAGGCAGCUUACUAGGCUGUAACUGACGCUGAGGCACGAAAGCGUGGGGAGCAAACAGG